UACGUAGGGGGGCAAGCGUUGUCCGGAAUCAUUGGGCGUAAAGAGCGCGUAGGCGGCCCUGUAAGUCCGCUGUGAAAGUCAAGGGCUCAACCCUUGGAUGCCGGUGGAUACUGCAGGGCUAGAGUCCGGAAGAGGCGAGUGGAAUUCCUGGUGUAGCGGUGAAAUGCGCAGAUAUCAGGAGGAACACCGAUGGCGAAGGCAGCUCGCUGGGACGGUACUGACGCUGAGGAGCGAAAGCCAGGGGAGCAAACGGG
This 254-nucleotide ribosomal RNA is filed under the name uncultured bacterium. RNAcentral's name for it is "partial 16S ribosomal RNA". It matches the Rfam family "Bacterial small subunit ribosomal RNA", at positions 524 to 776 of the family's 1533-position model. The record is from RNAcentral.